Molecule: ribosomal RNA, 253 nt
Filed under: uncultured bacterium
Lineage: Bacteria
Description: partial 16S ribosomal RNA
Rfam family: Bacterial small subunit ribosomal RNA
Source: RNAcentral
GACGAAGGUGGCGAGCGUUGUUCGGAAUCACUGGGCAUAAAGCGCACGUAGGCGGCGACGUAAGUUGGGUGUGAAAUCCCUCGGCCCAACCGAGGAACUGCGCCCAGUACUGCGUUGCUUGAGGAUCCAAGGGGUGCAUGGAAUUCCCGGUGGAGCGGUGAAAUGCGUUGAUAUCGGGAGGAACACCAGUGGCGAAGGCGGUUGCCUGGGGCUUUGCUGACGCUGAUGCGCGAAAGCGUGGGGAGCGAUCCGG